UCACAGACCCGGUUUUUAGACCAACUAUGGCUGAAUGGCUGUCACUGUUAGAAAAAUGAGUGUGUAGUACAAAGAGACUUAGGACUCUGUUCACCUACAGCUUUCAUGGUUAGCAACCUCCCACUAGCCCUUUUCAUAUGUGCCUCUGCUCAAAGGCUGUGACAAUUAAGUUCUGACACAGGGUUUGAGUAGGUAUGGACAGACAGUGGGGCAUGAUCAAUUUGGUUACAUGUUCAAUUUCCUCUCAAUAUAGUUAUUUUUCCCACAUCCCAAUCUGGUGUAUUCUCAUUUGCAAGACCAGAUAGUUCAGCUUUCUGUCUGUUCAGUUUUUUCCUCUUAAUGAUUUCCCCAGGUCAUGCAGCCCACUUGGAGAAGAAGUUGUCUUUUUAAUGGCACAAACUUUUAAUUUCGUACUUUAAUGCCUGUUAGAUUUGUGGCAAAUGUCUUUCCUAAACAGAACCAUGAGGUACAACUUAGAUUUCAAAUACAAUUAAGUUUUAGUUAUGCACUUUUU
Molecule: long non-coding RNA, 514 nt
Organism: Myotis davidii
Lineage: Eukaryota; Metazoa; Chordata; Mammalia; Chiroptera; Vespertilionidae
Exons: 2
Source: RefSeq, a predicted model, not a curated record